UGUGUUCACUACUGUAAGUCGCUCUGGAUAAGAGCAUCUGCUAAAUGACGUAAA
Salmo salar (Atlantic salmon) is the source of this 54-nucleotide non-coding RNA. NCBI's taxonomy places the organism in Eukaryota, Metazoa, Chordata, Actinopteri, Salmoniformes, Salmonidae. The record is from Rfam.